GCCUUUGUGGUGUAGUGGUCAGCACACUCGACGCGUAACUGAGAGGUCUGUGGUUCGAUUUCCAGCGAAGGCG
This is a non-coding RNA of Stegodyphus mimosarum, 73 nucleotides long. Lineage: Eukaryota; Metazoa; Arthropoda; Arachnida; Araneae; Eresidae. The record is from Rfam.